Molecule: long non-coding RNA, 501 nt
Filed under: Medicago truncatula (barrel medic)
Lineage: Eukaryota; Viridiplantae; Streptophyta; Magnoliopsida; Fabales; Fabaceae
Description: lncRNA gene45621
Source: RNAcentral
UUGUUCUUCAACCAAGCACCAAUACAAUCAGCAUGAUAUCUAUGAUCACAUAAAGGGAAAGUCUCAGUGAUACUAGAUGGCAGAAUCAUAUAAAGAAUAGCUACAAGUACAUCAGAGAAACUUUGUAUAAGGUCAACCAAAGAUUCUUGAAAGGGUUUCACCAGUUUUUGUUGAUUCUGAUUAAUAUUAUGGUUACUGAUUUUGCUCCUACAAAGUGGACAUGUAGUAUUGUUCUUCAACCAAACACCAAUACAAUCAGCAUGAUAUCUAUGAUUACAUAAAGGUAAUACCUUAACUUUUUCUCCUUUACACAUUUGGUUUAAACAAACUGAACAACAAUCACUUUCACCUUGAUCUAUUUCCUUCACUGAACCAUGAUUCUUGUAGAGUUUAUGCAGAAUCUUGGUUAUGUUUUCUUGAAAUGAGUUAGACAUGAGAGCAAUUAUUGUGAAGAAUUCAAGAAUAGUUGUUGUUUUCAUGUUUGGUUUUUUGGAGCAAAGA